Molecule: unclassified non-coding RNA, 272 nt
Filed under: plant metagenome
Description: partial contains small subunit ribosomal RNA, internal transcribed spacer 1, and 5.8S ribosomal RNA
Source: RNAcentral
UUUCCGUAGGUGAACCUGCGGAAGGAUCAUUAAUGAGUUGUCAUGGGGUUCGAUGCUGGCAGCCAGUUUUUGGACGCAUGUGCUUGCCCUAACAAUCAUCUUCUUCCAAACACCUGUGCACAUUUUUGAGGGAGUCUUGAGUUGGUUGCCGCUCUUGGGUGAUUUUCUCACAUUCCCUUAAAUCAUUAUACGCUAUUAACAAUGUUGAACGUGCUCUGUGUCGCAAGGCCAUUAAUAUAAUACAACUUUUAACAACGGAUCUCUUGGCUCUC